Molecule: ribosomal RNA, 133 nt
Filed under: uncultured bacterium
Lineage: Bacteria
Description: partial 16S ribosomal RNA
Rfam family: Bacterial small subunit ribosomal RNA
Source: RNAcentral
UCGAGAAUCUUUCACAAUGGGCGAAAGCCUGAUGGAGCGACGCCGCGUGGGGGAAGAAUGGCUUCGGCCCGUAAACCUCUGUCAUUCGCGAGCAAUGCUUACGUCCUAAUACGAUGUAAGUUGAUAGUAGCGA